UUCUGGGAGGAUUGACAGAUUGAGAUCUCUUUCUUGAUUCGGUGGUUGGUGGUGCAUGUCCGUUCUUAGUUGGUGCAGCGAUUUGUCUGGUUAAUUCCGAUAAGAAGCGAGACUUUAUCGUAUUAAAUAAGUGCGUGGUUCC
RNAcentral lists this ribosomal RNA (142 nucleotides) under Ixodes scapularis (black-legged tick). Its description in RNAcentral is "eukaryotic small subunit ribosomal RNA". It matches the Rfam family "Eukaryotic small subunit ribosomal RNA", at positions 1229 to 1370 of the family's 1831-position model. The record is from RNAcentral. Lineage: Eukaryota; Metazoa; Arthropoda; Arachnida; Ixodida; Ixodidae.